UUUCAAUUGGGUCAUUAAGGGUGACUAGGAGUUGCCAAUGGAUGGUAGAGAAAGGACUUUCAGUGGAUGAACUGCAUCUGAAAUUGGUCCAACCUGGCUGCACAAGGAACUCUUUGGUCAACACAAUUCUUAAAAUUAGAGGGUAUGAGAUGAGAAAGAGAACCAUCUGGGCAUAGAGAAUUGGCACCAAGCAAGAGCAAGGAACCAGACAUCAGUUACGGAAAAUGUAUCCCCACAUCACAUCAUGGGAGCCUAGCUCACAGACACUGCCAAUGGAAAUUGCAGAAAUAGAUCAACUGCAAAAGGUUACAUAGGGGACCCGCA
This 324-nucleotide long non-coding RNA is filed under the name Homo sapiens (human). RNAcentral describes it as "non-protein coding lnc-ANKRD30A-14:2". Lineage: Eukaryota; Metazoa; Chordata; Mammalia; Primates; Hominidae. The record is from RNAcentral.